GAUGAACGCUGGCGGCGUGCCUAAUACAUGCAAGUCGAGCGAACAGACGAGGAGCUUGCUCCUCUGACGUUAGCGGCGGACGGGUGAGUAACACGUGGAUAACCUACCUAUAAGACUUGGAUAACUUCGGGAAACCGGAGCUAAUACCGGAUAAUAUAUCGAACCGCAUGGUUCAAUAUUGAAAGACGGUUUUGCUGUCACUUAUAGCUGGCUACGCCCCGCAUUAGCUAGUUGGUAAGGUAACGGCUUACCAAGGCAACGAUGCGUAGCCGACCUGAGAGGGUGAUCGGCCACACUGGAACUGAGACACGGUCCAGACUCCUACGGGAGGCAGCAGUAGGGAAUCUUCCGCAAUGGGCGAAAGCCUGACGGAGCAACGCCGCGUGAGUGAUGAAGGUCUUCGGAUCGGAAAACUCUGUUGUUAGGGAAGAACAAAAGUGUAAGUAACUAUGCACGUCUUGACGGUACCUAAACAGAAAGCCACGGCUAACUACGUG
This 497-nucleotide ribosomal RNA is filed under the name uncultured bacterium. Its description in RNAcentral is "partial 16S ribosomal RNA". It matches the Rfam family "Bacterial small subunit ribosomal RNA", at positions 28 to 507 of the family's 1533-position model. The record is from RNAcentral.